This 106-nucleotide small RNA is filed under the name Marmota monax (woodchuck). Lineage: Eukaryota; Metazoa; Chordata; Mammalia; Rodentia; Sciuridae. The record is from RNAcentral.
GCUGGGUGCAGUGAUGCAUGCCUGUAAUCCCAAUCACUGGGAGGCUGAAGCAGGGGGAUCCCAAAUUUGAGACCAGCCUGGGCAACUUAGCGAGACCCUGUCUCAA